GAUACUAAGAGUUUGAUCGUGGCUCAGGGUGAACGCUGGCGACGUGCCUAAGACAUGCAAGUCGAACGAGAUUCGUAUUUUACAUAAGGAAAUUACAUAAUAAUUUUCUUGUGUAGAAUACGAUGACAGUGGCGAACGGGUGAGUAAUAAGUACGAACGUACCUCUAAGUGGAGCAUAGCCUCGAGAAAUCGUGGAUAAUACUCCAUAGUCCUCGUAUUUCAUACAAGGAAAUUCAAAGCACUAAUAUCUAAACUCAAAACUUUUUUGUUUUGGAUUUUGAAUAUUUAGAUUUUAAAUUUAUUUAGGAUUUCGAUAUUAGAAUUUAGGAUUUUCUCGCAUGGAAUGCGAGGUAAAGAUUUAUCGCUUAGAGAGCGGCGUACUCGCUACCAGCUUGUUGGUGAGGCAAUGGCUCACCAAGGCGAUGACGGCUACCGGCUCUUAG
Molecule: ribosomal RNA, 443 nt
Filed under: Patescibacteria group bacterium
Lineage: Bacteria
Description: partial 16S ribosomal RNA
Rfam family: Bacterial small subunit ribosomal RNA
Source: RNAcentral